This 1346-nucleotide ribosomal RNA is filed under the name uncultured bacterium. RNAcentral describes it as "partial 16S ribosomal RNA". It matches the Rfam family "Bacterial small subunit ribosomal RNA", at positions 28 to 1381 of the family's 1533-position model. The record is from RNAcentral.
GACGAACGCUGGCGGCGUGCUUAACACAUGCAAGUCGAACGGAAAGGCCCUGCUUUUGUGGGGUGCUCGAGUGGCGAACGGGUGAGUAACACGUGAGUAACCUGCCCUUGACUUUGGGAUAACUUCAGGAAACUGGGGCUAAUACCGGAUAGGAGCUCCUGCUGCAUGGUGGGGGUUGGAAAGUUUCGGCGGUUGGGGAUGGACUCGCGGCUUAUCAGCUUGUUGGUGGGGUAGUGGCUUACCAAGGCUUUGACGGGUAGCCGGCCUGAGAGGGUGACCGGCCACAUUGGGACUGAGAUACGGCCCAGACUCCUACGGGAGGCAGCAGUGGGGAAUAUUGCACAAUGGGCGGAAGCCUGAUGCAGCAACGCCGCGUGCGGGAUGACGGCCUUCGGGUUGUAAACCGCUUUCGCCUGUGACGAAGCGUGAGUGACGGUAAUGGGUAAAGAAGCACCGGCUAACUACGUGCCAGCAGCCGCGGUGAUACGUAGGGUGCGAGCGUUGUCCGGAUUUAUUGGGCGUAAAGGGCUCGUAGGUGGUUGAUCGCGUCGGAAGUGUAAUCUUGGGGCUUAACCCUGAGCGUGCUUUCGAUACGGGUUGACUUGAGGAAGGUAGGGGAGAAUGGAAUUCCUGGUGGAGCGGUGGAAUGCGCAGAUAUCAGGAGGAACACCAGUGGCGAAGGCGGUUCUCUGGGCCUUUCCUGACGCUGAGGAGCGAAAGCGUGGGGAGCGAACAGGCUUAGAUACCCUGGUAGUCCACGCUGUAAACGGUGGGUACUAGGUGUGGGGUCCAUUCCACGGGUUCCGUGCCGUAGCUAACGCUUUAAGUACCCCGCCUGGGGAGUACGGCCGCAAGGCUAAAACUCAAAGGAAUUGACGGGGCCCCGCACAAGCGGCGGAGCAUGCGGAUUAAUUCGAUGCAACGCGUAGAACCUUACCUGGGUUUGACAUGGAUCGGGAGUGCUCAGAGAUGGGUGUGCCUCUUUUGGGGUCGGUUCACAGGUGGUGCAUGGCUGUCGUCAGCUCGUGUCGUGAGAUGUUGGGUUAAGUCCCGCAACGAGCGCAACCCUUGUUCACUGUUGCCAGCACGUUAUGGUGGGGACUCAGUGGAGACCGCCGGGGUCAACUCGGAGGAGGGUGGGGAUGACGUCAAGUCAUCAUGCCCCUUAUGUCCAGGGCUUCACGCAUGCUACAAUGGCUGGUACAGAGAGUGGCGAGCCUGUGAGGGUGAGCGAAUCUCGGAAAGCCGGUCUCAGUUCGGAUUGGGGUCUGCAACUCGACCUCAUGAAGUCGGAGUCGCUAGUAAUCGCAGAUCAGCAACGCUGCGGUGAAUACGUUCCCGGGGCU